UACGUAGGGGGCAAGCGUUACUCGGAUUUACUGGGCGUAAAGCGCGUGUAGGCGGCUGGUCAAGCGUGAUGUGAAAUCUCCGGGCUCAACCCGGAAACUGCAUCGCGAACUGGCCUGGCUAGAGUGCAGGAGAGGGCGGCGGAAUUCCCGGUGUAGCGGUGAAAUGCGUAGAUAUCGGGAAGAACACCCGUGGCGAAGGCGGCUCUCUGGGACGGUACUGGACGCUGA
RNAcentral lists this ribosomal RNA (228 nucleotides) under uncultured bacterium. Its description in RNAcentral is "partial 16S ribosomal RNA". It matches the Rfam family "Bacterial small subunit ribosomal RNA", at positions 524 to 749 of the family's 1533-position model. The record is from RNAcentral.